RNAcentral lists this transfer RNA (90 nucleotides) under Aliiruegeria lutimaris. Its description in RNAcentral is "Pseudoruegeria lutimaris tRNA_Ser_TGA". It matches the Rfam family "tRNA". Rfam says of the family: Transfer RNA (tRNA) molecules are approximately 80 nucleotides in length. Their secondary structure includes four short double-helical elements and three loops (D, anti-codon, and T loops). The record is from RNAcentral. Lineage: Bacteria; Pseudomonadati; Pseudomonadota; Alphaproteobacteria; Rhodobacterales; Roseobacteraceae.
GGAGGUGUGGCAGAGUGGUCGAAUGCACCGGUCUUGAAAACCGGCGUGCGUGAAAGCGUACCGUGGGUUCGAAUCCCACCGCCUCCGCCA